RNAcentral lists this small nuclear RNA (107 nucleotides) under Trichobilharzia regenti. Lineage: Eukaryota; Metazoa; Platyhelminthes; Trematoda; Strigeidida; Schistosomatidae. The record is from RNAcentral.
GUACUCGCUUCGGCGGUACAUGUACUAAAAUUGGAACGAUACAGAGGAGAUUAGCAUGGCCCCUGCGCAAGGAUGACACGCAAAAUCGUGAAGCAUUCCAUAUUUUU